Zea mays is the source of this 666-nucleotide long non-coding RNA. RefSeq lists it as uncharacterized. The record is from RefSeq and is marked validated. The transcript is spliced from 4 exons. NCBI's taxonomy places the organism in Eukaryota, Viridiplantae, Streptophyta, Magnoliopsida, Poales, Poaceae.
AUACGUAGAAGGGUAGCUUGGCAUUAUUAACACCUUAGAAUACGCAGAAAGGGUAGUUUGGUAAUAGUGACGAACACAAUAAUUAGAGAACCUGGCUUCCAAGUUUAGUCAAAAGUAUCCAUGAAUUAAGUAAAGCCAGGAUCAACAAAGUAGCUGUACGCCUGUACCUGUCAAAGUGUCAAACGGGAUGCCGAAGAGAGCAUUCAGAUACGCAGUGGUUGAUGCCUUCACGGAUGAACCGUUCAAGGGCAACUCCGCGGCCGUCUGCCUCUUGGUCUUGGAGGACGACGCCGGCGCCGCAGGAGAGCGUCUGGACGGGCGGUGGAUGCAGGCGGUGGCAGCAGAGUUCAACACACCCAUCACCGCGUUCCUGGUCCGCGGCGAUGGUUCCGGCGGCCGGCACGGAUGCUGCAGGGGGUGGUGUUACGACUGUGACUCCCCAGUUCCGUAUCCGCUGGUUCACUUCAGUUCGUGAGACGAGCAAUCUAGUGUGGAUUCUGAGGUUCAGCAAGUAGAAGUAGCUGAGCAGGAGCUCAUUGAAGGUGGUGUCUCCCAGUCAGCUUUCUGGCGCCAAGGAUAGAUUUUAGUUCCUGUUAUAUUCAUCUUUUAUUUUGUAAGACUUCCGCUAUGUAAUAAGUACUCUGAUUUUAUUGUGACAUUUAUCUC